This is a long non-coding RNA of Sander lucioperca (pikeperch), 1886 nucleotides long. RefSeq lists it as uncharacterized. The transcript has 4 exons. Lineage: Eukaryota; Metazoa; Chordata; Actinopteri; Perciformes; Percidae. The record is from RefSeq and is a predicted model, not a curated record.
CCAAGAUGGCGGCGGCAGAGAUGCAUCUCUCACAAGCCAAAUAGCCCACCAAGCAAUUUACAGGUGUUUUCCUCCACAAAAACUUAUUUAAGUCAAAUGUUGACAAGGUUGUAAUACAAAUGCCACCUUUUUAAAUCAUACAAUGGAGUCAGCCUGUAGUUCUGUCUACAUGCAGCUGUGAGGAACUGGCAGGUGAUUCAUGUACACUCGCGCAAGGGAUUCACCACCUGUUCAAUCACGGCACUAGCUAGCAACCUACCGGGUGGAAAUUUGAAGAGAAUAUUUAGGGCCAGCUGAGCUAAUUGAUGCCACCGAGAAAGUGAAAUUAAUUAAAACAACCGAAAGUGACAACAGAGAGGAAGAAGAAGAGAAAGGAGAAACCAGAGCUGGCUUAAGGUAAAAAAUAAUGCGAAAUUGACUGAAGUAAUUACAAAGCCAUUAUCAUGCUAAUGGUGCUGCCGCAGCUAGCAACGUUCAACACAAGUGGGAUGUCAAAAGAAACGUUUCUACAUUGACUUUCAUGGAACUUCCGAGGAGCAGAAUGUCAAGACAAGUUGGAGAAAGACGUCGUAUGAGGCUGGACUUUAACAAACCUUCAUAACUGACUACAUAAAGAAUGAACGAGCAGCUGACGUUUGAGAAGAGCUGCGCUGACAUGUCGGCCUCUGCAGUGCUUUUCUAUAGUGCUUGGGUUGCGGAUGGUCUUCAUGUCGGUGAGAACAACGUGUCUGUAGCUGCGCUCCAGUCCCUCCAUGAGCUCCAGGUAGUCGCCCACCUUGAAGCCCUGGAUUGGCUCCUCCUGCAGGUAGAUAGUGCUGACGAGGAUGUGACACAGUGAGUGCACAGUCGAUGAGUGAGUAAUUUCAGGUUGGAGACUCAUCCUGUUAACACAAUUCCUCUUUUAAUAAGACUGAAGAUUCUCAUACACAUAUAAUGACCUAUCUUGCAUUAAGCUCACACAGCAAGUUACAAGAUUAAUUGGAGGGGUCACAAGAUUAAUAACAGGAUGGGAGAGAAUCAAAAGCAUAUUCUGUUCACACAAAAUGUUUUUUCUGACUUUUCUGUAAUCCCUAGAUCCUUGAUGGCAAUGUCGGUCUGUGUACCCCACUGUGGUCCAGACUGAAAUAUUUCAACAACUAUUAGAUGGAUUUCCAUGAAAUUUCUCUAGACAAUUAUAAUCCUCAGAGAAUGAAAUGUAAUGCUAGCUCCACCAGCGGGUUGACACUUAUGCUUUUUUAGUAAAAUUUCUCAACAACUAUUUAAUGGAUUGCCAUCAAAUUUGGUGCAGACAUUCAUGGUUCCCAGAGGGUGAAUCCUCCUGACUUUAGUCAUGUUAGCAUGCUGUCGUUAGCAUUUAGUUUGUAGCAUUGCUGAGCUAAAGUAUAGCCUCAAAGAGCAGUAAGCGUGGCUGUAUACUCUAAGGAGUGGAAGGAAACGCCGCUUUGGCUGAACUGCUCACAACUCAACAACAUAUUAAACUUGAUAUGACAGGUAAUAUGUAAACAUUGCUGUGUUUUAACCACUUUUAACCACUAAGCUAGGUACAAUAAUGCUUUAUUUCAUUGGAGCUCUCGUCUCCAACCUUUUUUGAGAUAAAGAAAUGUCUACUUGUGACCCCUUGUCAAAGUGCAGAUGUCUGGGAGUCUUGAGCAGUUCAAUCGGUGAUUGAUUUUGCCUGCUGCUGCUUGCUAAAACUAUAUCACAAAAAGAGCAAAGAUUAGAAAGAAGUCAGAAAUUAUAUUAUUAAAUGUACCCAAAUUUAGUUUUUUCCCUACUAACCCUGAAAUCAUCUCGGGACCACCGCCUUAGAUCACCAAAGAUUUCCGGUUCAGGAUCUCGGUGUCCUUUAUAAGGUUAUAUUGGUAGUGUAGAAAAACCAAAGGAGU